AACAAACCAGCCUUUACCUAUAAAGAACACAAACCGGCCUUUAACCAAAACGUCCCUCAAAACACACAUCUCACAAACUUCUCUCUCUUCUUUCUAAAGAGGCCGCCGCUUCAUUCCGUGUGAGGAUUCGAUCAAACCUCGCUCUCUACCAAUUACGUUUCCCAAGAACAUUGAUUUUCACCAUCUGGGUCUCUUUCAAUUUCAUCAAAAUCCAAUCUUGGCAUCAUAUUAUUUCGUUUUUGGGUAAUUUAUCUUUCUGGGUUCUUCAAUUUUUUUGAAAAAAAAUUAGUGCCUAGUGUUGGUUUAAGCUUUUGGUAAUGGCGGAGACAAAGAACUGGGCCUGCCAAGCCUGCGGCUUCGUCGGCCUAUCCGACGACUCCGACGGCUAUUUCUACUGCGACCGCUGCGGCGCCCAAGCCGAAGACUUGCCAACAUAUCUCCAGUACUGUAAGGAUGUGGUCUUUGCUGUAUUAAAACCGUUUUUUUCUGGAUCAUGAUGAGAAGUUAAUAGAAGAAUUCUGGGAUUUUUAUCAGAAUGAGAAGGAUUCUGAGCCGUCAGAGGAUUUUGAAGAGGGACAUCGUGCUUUAACCAGAAGAGAUUGAGGGAUGAAGGAUUGGCUAGCCAUAUUUCUAUAGAUAAUAAGAGGAUCAGGAUGAAGGGUGUGUUAGUGGCCCAUCCUUUGAUGAUGGAACUUCUCAUGCAGAUGAGUCACAGUCGGGCUAGCCAUAUUUCUAUAGAAAAUUUUGAUAAUAGGCUUUUAGUUGGAGUUGAAUUUCAAAUUUAUUUUAAUUAUUGUUAAAUCUUAUCCCUUAGUCAAAACAUGAGUUUUUUUUUUAUAAUAGACUUUUGGUUUCAAUA
This is a long non-coding RNA of Quercus robur (English oak), 859 nucleotides long. RefSeq lists it as uncharacterized. Lineage: Eukaryota; Viridiplantae; Streptophyta; Magnoliopsida; Fagales; Fagaceae. The transcript is spliced from 2 exons. The record is from RefSeq and is a predicted model, not a curated record.